This 397-nucleotide ribosomal RNA is filed under the name uncultured bacterium. RNAcentral describes it as "partial 16S ribosomal RNA". It matches the Rfam family "Bacterial small subunit ribosomal RNA", at positions 523 to 918 of the family's 1533-position model. The record is from RNAcentral.
AUACGUAGGGGGCGAGCGUUGUCCGGAAUGAUUGGGCGUAAAGGGCGCGUAGGCGGCCCGGUAAGUCUGGAGUGAAGGUCCUGUUUUUAAGGUGGGAAUUGCUUUGGAUACUGUCGGGCUUGAGUGCAGGAGAGGUAAGUGGAAUUCCCAGUGUAGCGGUGAAAUGCGUAGAGAUUGGGAGGAACACCAGUGGCGAAGGCGACUUACUGGGCCGUAACUGACGCUGAGGCGCGAAAGCGUGGGGAGCGAACAGGAUUAGAUACCCUGGUAGUCCACGCGGUAAGCGAUGAAUGCUAGGUGUAGGGGGUAUCGACCCCUUCUGUGCCGCAGUCAACACAAUAAGCAUUCCGCCUGGGGAGUACGGCCGCAAGGUUGAAACUCAAAUGAAUUGGCGGGG